Molecule: ribosomal RNA, 562 nt
Filed under: uncultured bacterium
Lineage: Bacteria
Description: partial 16S ribosomal RNA
Rfam family: Bacterial small subunit ribosomal RNA
Source: RNAcentral
UGGGAAUCUUAGACAAUGGGGGAAACCCUGAUCUAGCCAUGCCGCGUGAGCGAUGAAGGCCUUAGGGUUGUAAAGCUCUUUCAGCUGGGAAGAUAAUGACGGUACCAGCAGAAGAAGCCCCGGCUAACUCCGUGCCAGCAGCCGCGGUAAUACGGAGGGGGCUAGCGUUGUUCGGAAUUACUGGGCGUAAAGCGCACGUAGGCGGAUUAGUCAGUCAGAGGUGAAAUCCCAGGGCUCAACCCUGGAACUGCCUUUGAUACUGCUAGUCUUGAGGUCGAGAGAGGUGAGUGGAAUUCCGAGUGUAGAGGUGAAAUUCGUAGAUAUUCGGAGGAACACCAGUGGCGAAGGCGGCUCACUGGCUCGAUACUGACGCUGAGGUGCGAAAGCGUGGGGAGCAAAACAGGAUUAGAUACCCUGGUAGUCCACGCCGUAAAACGAUGAAUGCCAGUCGUCGGGUUGCAUGCAAUUCGGUGACACACCUAAACGGAUUAAAGCAUUCCGCCUGGGGAGUACGGUCGCAAGAUUAAAACUUAAAUGAAUUGACGGGGUCAUAGCUGUUUCC